UUUUUUUUUUUGAGACAGAGUCUCGCUCUGUCAACAGGCUGGAGUGUAGUGGCACAAUCUCAGCUCACUGCAACCUCUGACUCUCUGGUUCAAGCAACUCUCCUGCCUCAGCCUCCCGAGUAGCUGGGAUUACAGGCACGUGCCAGCAAACCCAACUAAUUUUUGUAUUUUUAGUAGAAACAGGGUUUCAGGAUGGUCUCAAUCUCCUGACCUCGUGAUCUGCCCACCUCGGCCUCCCAAAGUGCUGGGAUUACAGGUGUGAGCCACCACACUCGGCCUGGUUUCUCUUCUUCUAAGGGCACUAAUCCUGUGAGACAAGGGCCCACGCUCAUGACCUCAUCUAACCCUUAUCACCUCCCAAAGGUCCUACCCCCUAAUACCAUCACACUGGCAGUUAGGGCUCCAGUACAAGAAUCUGGGGGAGACAUAAACAUUCAGUUUAGAACAAUGUCUUUUCAAUCCUGUUGAAAAAAACAACCAAAUGAGUAGGCAAAGAAGUACCUUAUAUGUAAACAAGUCAGGACUUUUCAUAUUUCUGCUAAUACAUUAAGGUCAAUUUAAAAUGUCUGAUAACAAGAGUCAGAAGCAGAGAUAAAUGAAAGUUAGUUACUCUGCAUUUUAGACCCACAUUGAGCUGUCUUUCAAUGACAUUGUGGCACAAAGAACACUGCUUUCUAUUCCUGGUUUUGCCACCAAAAAAGCUGGAACAUUUCCCUGUAAUUCCAUUUAUCUUGAAAAUCACUGGGCUGACCUAGCAGACCUCCAAGGUCCCUUCCAUUCACAAAUUCCACAAAUAACUUCCUACCAACAGAUGCUACACAAAUAAACUACACUGACGAAGGGAAAGCUAACACUAGCAAACAAUGAGAUGCACACAAGACAAGACAUAUAGAGAACUGGAUCAACCACAAAACUGGUGGACGAUGAGCCGGCGGUGGAUAAAAACACACAUUCCCUAACAAUGGACAGAGAGGCAAUGGCGCCGAGGUAGUAUUGUUGAAGAUUUCCUAUUUUAAAUCUUCAAGAUCAAUGGCCCAAUUGUAUAUAUUCAUUCUGAUUAAAUGUGAACGUGAAAACUUCCUCCAGGGGACACAGACAUCUAAAAAGUUCCCAAUGUAUCCAAUUUGUCAUUUGAUAUUUUUACUGACAAGAAAAAUGAGGGACUGAAUAUACAAACAGACCAUGCCUGAUCAUAUGUAUAAAGACAGAACUCAGACCACAACCUGUAGCUGCCCACCCAGGAAACCAAUCCCCUAUCUACAGUCAACAGCCAGGAGGCCAGCCAGGCUAGCCCAUCAGACAGGAAGCCAGACUGCUCUCUCUCCACAACCCAGAAACUAAACCACAACUCUGUCCAUGUGGCCAGGACUUGACUCAAAACUGACAGCUACCCUAAUUUUGGCCCCUGUUUCCAGUUAGGAUCAUUCAGAGAAAGCCAAAUAUGCCCCUAACCAAUCACAUAGGACAACCCACUUCUGCACAGCCGCCUCCAGUCCCCACAACAGCCUCCACUGGGAGCCGUUCUUUUCCAUCCUGAAAUUUCCCCACUCUUCAUCAGCCACUCACUUGCAUGUCAGUCUCUGCCACACGCAAGUAAUGGUGCCGACUCUCUUGCCACAGCAGUUCUGAGAAAAUCACCUCUGCCUGUCUCAUGCGGGCGGCCU
Molecule: long non-coding RNA, 1664 nt
Organism: Macaca fascicularis (crab-eating macaque)
Lineage: Eukaryota; Metazoa; Chordata; Mammalia; Primates; Cercopithecidae
Source: Ensembl